This 352-nucleotide ribosomal RNA is filed under the name Eukaryota sp. RNAcentral describes it as "SSU rRNA". It matches the Rfam family "Eukaryotic small subunit ribosomal RNA", at positions 1325 to 1699 of the family's 1831-position model. The record is from RNAcentral.
GCGAUAACGAACGAGACCUUCCUCUGCUAAAUAGCCCGGCUAGCUUUGGCUGGUCGCUGGCUUCUUAGAGAGACUAUCGACUCAAGUCGAUGGAAGUUGGAGGCAAUAACAGGUCUGUGAUGCCCUUAGAUGUUCUCGGCCACACGCGUAUUACACUGCGUGAGGCAACGAGUUAUUCACCUUGAUCGAAAGAUUUGGGUAAUCUUGUUAAACUCACGCGUGCUGGGGAUAGAGCAUUGCAAUUAUUGCUCUUCAACGAGGAAUGCCUAGUAAGCGUAUUUCAUCAAAAUGCGCUGAUUACGUCCCUGACCUUUGUACACACCGCCCGUCGCUAGUACCGAUUGAAUGGGUA